UGAAUGGGUCCCGUUGCUAAGGCGACGGGGUUUCAAAGGCGAGGCGCCGGCAACGGUGAAUGCGAUGCUUUCAGAAGCGGACAGAAGCGGUUGGAGUCUGGAGGAGGGAGCAGAUGAAAAGUUACCGCAGAAGAUGAAACAGAGGAUUUCACUGACGUAGCAGAGGGCCCA
Long non-coding RNA from Callorhinchus milii (elephant shark), 171 nucleotides. RefSeq lists it as uncharacterized. The transcript is spliced from 3 exons. NCBI's taxonomy places the organism in Eukaryota, Metazoa, Chordata, Chondrichthyes, Chimaeriformes, Callorhinchidae. The record is from RefSeq and is a predicted model, not a curated record.